GACGAACGCUGGCGGCGUGCUUAACACAUGCAAGUCGAACGGGAAGGCCCUGCUUUAGUCUUCUGCUCAUUUGGCGGACUGCUAAUUAACACGUGGGUAGCCUGCCCUUGACUAUGUGACAUCUUCAGGAAACUGGCGCUCAUACCGGAUAGGUGCUACUGCUGAAUGGUAGGGGAUGGAAAGUUUCGGCGGUUGGGGAUGGACUCGCGGCUUAUCAGCUUGUUGUUGGGGUAGUGGCUUACCAAGGCUUUGACGGGUAGCCGGACUGAGAGGGUGACCGGCAACAUUGGGAUUGGGAUACGGCCCAGACUACUACCGGAGGCAGCGGUGGAGAAUAGUGCACAAUGCGAUGAAGCCUGAUGCAGCGACGCCGCGUGGGGGAUGAGGGGAAGCGGGUUGGAAACCGCUUUCGCCUGUGAAGAAGCGUGAGUGACGGUAAUGGGCAAAGAAGCACCGGCUAACUACGUG
RNAcentral lists this ribosomal RNA (468 nucleotides) under uncultured bacterium. Its description in RNAcentral is "partial 16S ribosomal RNA". It matches the Rfam family "Bacterial small subunit ribosomal RNA", at positions 28 to 507 of the family's 1533-position model. The record is from RNAcentral.